RNAcentral lists this transfer RNA (62 nucleotides) under Lipothrix lubbocki. RNAcentral describes it as "tRNA-Ala". The record is from RNAcentral. Lineage: Eukaryota; Metazoa; Arthropoda; Collembola; Symphypleona; Sminthuridae.
AGAAUGGUAGUUAAAAAUAACAUUUAGUUUGCAACUAAAAAGUACUAAAUUAGUCCAUUUUA